AGUAGGAUGCCUGAAAAAGGAUUAUUUUGAUAGAAUAAAUUAUGUGAAUUUCACUUCUAUUA
RNAcentral lists this transfer RNA (62 nucleotides) under Euaesthetus ruficapillus. Its description in RNAcentral is "tRNA-Ile". Lineage: Eukaryota; Metazoa; Arthropoda; Insecta; Coleoptera; Staphylinidae. The record is from RNAcentral.